GACGAACGCUGGCGGCGUGCUUAACACAUGCAAGUCGAACGGAGAAGCGCCUUCUUUUUUGGUGGGUGUGGAUGAGUGGGGAAGGGGUGAGUAACAAGUGAGUAACCUGCCGCGUUCUACUGGAUAACAGCAUGAAAGUGUGGCCAAUACGGGAUAUUCUGGGUCUGUCGGAUGAUGGGUCUGGGAAAGAUCUUGUUUCGGUGGGGGAUGGUCGCGCGGUCUAUCAGGUUGGUGGUGGGGAGAUGGCCUACCAAGGCGGUGACGGGUAGCCGGCCUGGGAGGGUGGACGAUCACGGUGGUGAGGCGCGGCGGCCACGCCUCCGAGGGGAGGCAGCAGGGAAUAAUAGAGCACGAUGGAAGGAAGGCUGAUGCAGCGACGCGGCGUGAGGGAUGGAGUCCUGCGGGUUGUGAACCUCAUGCGGGAGGGAAGCAGACCUGCCUCGUUUGUGGGUGGGUUGACGGUAGCUGGAGAAGAAGCGCCGGCUAACUACGUG
This 494-nucleotide ribosomal RNA is filed under the name uncultured bacterium. RNAcentral's name for it is "partial 16S ribosomal RNA". It matches the Rfam family "Bacterial small subunit ribosomal RNA", at positions 28 to 507 of the family's 1533-position model. The record is from RNAcentral.